Molecule: ribosomal RNA, 891 nt
Filed under: Triticum aestivum (bread wheat)
Lineage: Eukaryota; Viridiplantae; Streptophyta; Magnoliopsida; Poales; Poaceae
Description: partial small subunit ribosomal RNA
Source: RNAcentral
AUGGACCCAGCACUCCGCCUCAUCCUUCAUGCUUGGCUCUUCGGUUUUGUGGCGCAGGUGUGCGUGGUGAGCUGGGCGCUAGUCAUGGAUGGGGAUGUUGCUAUCGCUAGGGGCCGCACCGUGGGGUCUCGUCUUUGGCUUCACCCUGACCACAUUCUGUCUUUUGCAGCCCCCCUAUCGCACACCUUGGAAUGCAUAUGGAAUUUAAUCAUGGUACAUCCAAAGGCUCGUGUAUCUUGUGUAUCGAAAGACUUGUGUAUCAUAUGCAAUUUAAUCAUGGGUUGGGAAGUUGUUAAUCCUUCUAUAAUUAUUAAAACUUUUGUUUGUGAUCCCCCAGAAGAGGUCUUCAUCACUCUGCUACGGACAUGCCAACCAAAGAAUAAGCUACUGGUGAAGCAAGCUCUCGCUAUUCUCAUGCCUGCCCUUCCGAGAAGACUUCCUCCUAGUGAUAGCCGCUUGCCGAUAUGGAUCAGAUACACCAAGAAAGUCCUUGUGGAGGAGGGGCAUUCAAUUCCAAACAUGAUUCACAUAUUCCAGCUUAUUUUUCGCCAUGCAGACCUUUUUUAUAGUUGCAGAGAGCAGAUGGGUAAAGACGGACACAUGAAAAUCAUGCAGGAAAGUGAGAUCCAGAAUCAAAUAAGUAAGAGGCUGAAAGUUGAACCAGGCUUGCAACCUCUUUGUGUAAUGUCGCCGGGUGGGGCAUCACCUAAAAUUGACACACCCGGAGCUUCAGGGCAACUUGAUGAGGAGUAUAAACCUAAUGCAGCAAUGGAGGAGAUGAUCAUUACUUUCCUGAAUAGAUUCAGUAAUAGAUGCAUUCAAGGAUUUUGGCCAAACAAAUCCUCAACUUCACCAUCUUGGUUACCGAGACAAGGCUUGGAAUGUGAAUAA